GACGAACGCUGGCGGCGUGCUUAACACAUGCAAGUCGAACGCUGAAGCUCAGCUUUUGUUGGGUGGAUGAGUGGCGAGCGGGUGAGUAACACGUGAGUAACCUGCCCCCUUCUUUGGGAUAACGCCCGGAAACGGGUGCUAAUACUGGAUAUUCACUGGUCUUCGCAUGGGGGUUGGUGGAAAGGGUUUUUCUGGUGGGGGAUGGGCUCGCGGCCUAUCAGCUUGUUGGUGGGGCGAUGUCCUACCAAGGCUUUGACGGGUAGCCGGCCUGAGAGGGUGACCGGUAACAGUGGGACUGAGAUAGGGACCAGACUACGAAGGGAGGGAGAAGUGGGGAAGAUUGCACAAUGGGGGAAAGACUGAUGCAGCGACGCCGAGUGAGGGAUGGAGGCCUUCGGGUUGUGAACCUCUUUCGCAAAUGGUAAAGCCGAAACAAUGGUUGUGGUGAGGGUAGUGGGUAAAGAAGCGCCGGCUAACUACGUG
This 483-nucleotide ribosomal RNA is filed under the name uncultured bacterium. RNAcentral's name for it is "partial 16S ribosomal RNA". It matches the Rfam family "Bacterial small subunit ribosomal RNA", at positions 28 to 507 of the family's 1533-position model. The record is from RNAcentral.